GACGAACGCUGGCGGCGUGCUUAACACAUGCAAGUCGAACGGUAAGGCCCUUCGGGGUACACGAGUGGCGAACGGGUGAGUAACACGUGGGUGAUCUACCCUGCCCUUCGGGAUAAGCCUGGGAAACUGGGUCUAAUACCGGAUAGGACCACUGCCUGCAUGGGUGGUGGUGGAAAGCUUUUGCGGUGUGGGAUGGGCCCGCGGCCUAUCAGCUUGUUGGUGGGGUGAUGGCCUACCAAGGCGACGACGGGUAGCCGGCCUGAGAGGGUGACCGGCCACACUGGGACUGAGAUACGGCCCAGACUCCUACGGGAGGCAGCAAUGGGGAAUAUUGCACAAUGGGCGCAAGCCUGAUGCAGCGACGCCGCGUGAGGGAUGACGGCCUUCGGGUUGUAAACCUCUUUCAGCACCGACGAAGCGCAAGUGACGGUAGGUGCAGAAGAAGGACCGGCCAACUACGUGCCAGCCGCCGCAGUAA
This 478-nucleotide ribosomal RNA is filed under the name uncultured bacterium. RNAcentral describes it as "partial 16S ribosomal RNA". It matches the Rfam family "Bacterial small subunit ribosomal RNA", at positions 28 to 523 of the family's 1533-position model. The record is from RNAcentral.